This 260-nucleotide ribosomal RNA is filed under the name Erwinia sp. MBA2.19. RNAcentral's name for it is "partial 16S ribosomal RNA". It matches the Rfam family "Bacterial small subunit ribosomal RNA", at positions 60 to 315 of the family's 1533-position model. Lineage: Bacteria; Pseudomonadati; Pseudomonadota; Gammaproteobacteria; Enterobacterales; Erwiniaceae. The record is from RNAcentral.
UGCAGUCGGACGGUAGCACAGAGAGCUUGCUCUCGGGUGACGAGUGGCGGACSSGUGAGUAAUGUCUGGGAAACUGCCCGAUGGAGGGGGAUAACUMCUGGAAACGGUAGCUAAUACCGCAUAACGUCUUCGGACCAAAGUGGGGGACCUUCGGGCCUCACGCCAUCGGAUGUGCCCAGAUGGGAUUAGCUAGUAGGUGGGGUAAAGGCUCACCUAGGCGACGAUCUCUAGCUGGUCUGAGAGGAUGACCAGCCACACUG